UAUGUGAUCGUCUCUCGCAUAUCAAUAAGCGGAGGAAAAGAAAUUAACAAGGAUUCCCCUAGUAACGGCGAGUGAAGCGGGAAGAGCUCAAAUUUGAAAUCUUAAAGGGUUUCCCUUUACGAAUUGUAGUUUAAAGAAGUGUUUUCUGUUGAGGCUUUGGUAAAAGUUCUUUGGAAUAGGACAUCAUAGAGGGUGAGAAUCCCGUAUUUGACCUUUACUUUCAACUUUGUGAUACACUUUCAAAGAGUCGGAUUGUUUGGGAAUGCAGUCCAAAAUGGGUGGUAAAUUUCAUCUAAAGCUAAAUAUUGGCGAGAGACCGAUAGCGAACAAGUACCGUGAGGGAAAGAUGAAAAGAACUUUGAAAAGAGAGUUAAACAGUACGUGAAAUUGUCAAAAGGGAAGCGUUUGACACCAGUGUUGUUUUUCUGAAAAUCAAUUAAAGAACUGUUUAUGCUAAGUUGUUUAGACUUUAUCAGCUAACUGUUUAGUUUUGAGCUUUUCUUUAAUGCACUUUUCAGUUAACAAGUCAACAUCAAUUUCUUUUGCUGUAAAAAAGCUUGAGGAAGGUGGCUUGAGAUUCGUCUUAAGUGUUUAUAGCCUCUUGCCUAUGCAGUCGGAGAGAUUGAGGUCUGCAGCGUAGAUCCUUCGGGGCUAAAUGCAUUUGUGCUAAGUUAUAGCAUUUUAUAGACAACUUGUUGACUAUGAUUUGUCUUGUAGCUUACUCGCUUAUGUUAUUUUACCUACGCUUAGGAUGUUGAUCUACAGAGCGAGAGU
This 774-nucleotide ribosomal RNA is filed under the name uncultured Neocallimastigales. RNAcentral describes it as "partial large subunit ribosomal RNA". It matches the Rfam family "Eukaryotic large subunit ribosomal RNA", at positions 24 to 631 of the family's 3401-position model. Lineage: Eukaryota; Fungi; Neocallimastigomycota; Neocallimastigomycetes; Neocallimastigales. The record is from RNAcentral.